This 252-nucleotide ribosomal RNA is filed under the name uncultured bacterium. RNAcentral describes it as "partial 16S ribosomal RNA". It matches the Rfam family "Bacterial small subunit ribosomal RNA", at positions 524 to 776 of the family's 1533-position model. The record is from RNAcentral.
UACGUAGGGAGCGAGCGUUGUCCGGAAUUACUGGGUGUAAAGGGAGCGUAGGCGGGCGAGAAAGUUGAAUGUUAAAUCUACCGGCUUAACUGGUAGCUGCGUUCAAAAUUUCUUGUCUUGAGUGAAGUAGAGGCAGGCGGAAUUCCUAGUGUAGCGGUGAAAUGCGUAGAUAUUAGGAGGAACACCAGUGGCGAAGGCGGCCUGCUGGGCUUUAACUGACGCUGAGGCUCGAAAGCGUGGGGAGCAAACAGG